This 1138-nucleotide long non-coding RNA is filed under the name Chrysemys picta bellii (western painted turtle). Its description in RNAcentral is "lncRNA (ENSCPBG00000003576.1)". Lineage: Eukaryota; Metazoa; Chordata; Testudines; Emydidae. The record is from RNAcentral.
UAUUUACCCACAAACCUAAAGAGUUACUUUUUUGUGCUGAUUUUCACCCAGUUUUUAUCCUGAUCCAUCCCCAGGAAGUUUUAAACAAAACACAAAUGGAAAACGAAGGGCUUCGCUCCCAGCACGAGACCCAGAGGCCGUUUAAUUCAAUGGAAGGGGGGGAACUCAGAGGCAAUCACAAUCAGCCGGUGGAACUCACUGCCACAGGAAGUCGAGGCCAAGACCUUUGUGAGGUUCCAAGAGCGACUGGAUGUUUGCGCGGGUAACAAGACUCUCCGGAGACAUUGAUAAAGCUGCCGGCGGGGAAAGUGAAAACACUGUCAGAGAUCAGAACGAGACCUCCCCUGAGACGGGUCAGCCCCCUCUGCUCCGGCACCAAACUCUGCAGCAGCUGGGCGGGCGGAGGGGGCUGAGCGCGCCUGGUGAUUGCUGUGCUCGUGGGCCAAGGCUGGGGCCACAUGCACAGACUGGCCAGGCCCUCCCUGCCGCUCGCCUGCCCCGACUGCGGGUGCCUCCCCCCGAAGGGCCACCCCAGGGUGCACUGGUGAGCCCCGAGGGUGGUGCAGAGUGGGGGCCUGGGGAGGGCACUGGUGCUGGUGCAGAGGCGGCACCGCUGGGCUGUGAGCCCUGGUGCCAGGCACAGCCAGCCCUGAACCGACUUUUCCAUUCAACUGGCGCGGACUCUAUUUUCCCGGGGCGCUCAGGCAGAAAAUCCCCCGGUGCCACCCCCCCCCCAUGCAGCCCCUUGUUAUUCUGGGCAGCACGCUCCGGCCAAGUGUGGUUUGCGCGGCGCCGCAGCCGGGCAGGGGGUGGGUUGUUUGGGAUGUGCCCCCCCCCCGUCUUAACUCCCCCCGGGCGUUGCCAGGGGCGCCCGCACCCAGGUGGCACCAGCGCCCGAGCCAGGACUCAGAGUCGGAUGCAGCACAAACGCCUCCUGCUCCUUCCAGCCAGCGACCCCUCCUUCCCCUGCCUCCCCCUUCCCGGCAGCUGCCCAGGAGUCCGGCGCUGCUGGCAGGGCCGGACAACAAAGAAAGCCCACGGCUACAAGGACAAAACAGAACGUCCUCACCCAUCAGCCCCCUGCCCUGGCCCCAUUGGCUGGGGCGACCCCCCAGCGCAGGUGGGGGGCUGCUCCCUG